UAUUAAUUUAUUAUUUUGGCAGAUUAGUGCUUUAAAUUUAGAAUUUAAAUAUGUAUAUAUUAUACAAAUAAUA
This 73-nucleotide transfer RNA is filed under the name Platycholeus opacellus. RNAcentral describes it as "transfer RNA-Leu". Lineage: Eukaryota; Metazoa; Arthropoda; Insecta; Coleoptera; Leiodidae. The record is from RNAcentral.